GCUGGGUGUAGUGGUGCACACCUGUGGUCCCAUCUACUUGGGAGGCUGAGGUGGGAGGAUCACUUGAACCCGAGAGUUCAAGGCUGCAGUGAGCUAUGAUUGCACCACUGCACUCUAGCCUGGGUGACAAAGUGAAAUCCCUAUCUCUA
Pongo abelii (Sumatran orangutan) is the source of this 149-nucleotide unclassified non-coding RNA. It matches the Rfam family "Metazoan signal recognition particle RNA". Rfam says of the family: The signal recognition particle (SRP) is a universally conserved ribonucleoprotein. It is involved in the co-translational targeting of proteins to membranes. NCBI's taxonomy places the organism in Eukaryota, Metazoa, Chordata, Mammalia, Primates, Hominidae. The record is from Ensembl.